UCCCAACUACAAAUGAACAUGAAGUUUGAUUUCUCAGGCAUCCAAAUUAAAUUUUUAUUUAGUUUAAUCCGGUUCUAUAUUUAAAAAAAUUAAAAAAAAAAUAAAAUAUAAUAAUGUUGUACAUAAAUAUGAUCUUACGUGUUGUCUAUAAUAAAAUAUUUUUACGAUUUAAGUUAAAAUAUUAUUUUUAUUUACAACAAAAUCGUCCCGCGGUGUACUGCAUAUUGACCAC
This 232-nucleotide long non-coding RNA is filed under the name Capsella rubella. RNAcentral describes it as "long non-coding RNA (CRUB_LNC004997)". Lineage: Eukaryota; Viridiplantae; Streptophyta; Magnoliopsida; Brassicales; Brassicaceae. The record is from RNAcentral.